RNAcentral lists this ribosomal RNA (288 nucleotides) under uncultured bacterium. Its description in RNAcentral is "partial 16S ribosomal RNA". It matches the Rfam family "Bacterial small subunit ribosomal RNA", at positions 337 to 622 of the family's 1533-position model. The record is from RNAcentral.
CCCUACGGGGGGCAGCAGUGAGGAAUAUUGGUCAACGGCCGAGAGGCUGAACCAGCCAAGUCGCGUGAGGGAAGACGGCCCUACGGGUUGUAAACCUCUUUUGUCGGGGAGCAAAGCGAACCACGUGUGGUUCAUUGAGAGUACCCGAAGAAAAAGCAUCGGCUAACUCCGUGCCAGCAGCCGCGGUAAUACGGAGGAUGCGAGCGUUAUCCGGAUUUAUUGGGCGUAAAGCGAGUGCAGGCGGUUCAAUAAGGCUGAUGGGACAGGCGUCGGCUCAACCGGCGGAUU